GCAGUAGGUUUUCUGUUUAUAGGUUGUUUUGCUUGCUCUCGCCUGUGGAGCAAUCGGAGACGAGUUUGCUAGAAGUGAGGCCGGGAAGCUUGUGAAGACCCGGGCCCUCACUUGGCCGACGCUGGCACCUCACACGUGUUUAUCACAUGUCUUGCUGUCUCGGGUGGAGCCCAGCUGUUUCCUUACACUUUGUCAGGUUUCUUUAGAGUAACAAGAGUCCAGAGGUGUAAAGCCGGCUGUGAAUCUGCCUCUGAACCUUGUGCAAAGGGCGGAGCGCGGAGGCGUCACGGGACGCUGUGGCUUCUGAUGGCACCCCUCUGAUCCCGAAAGCGUGUGGGCCCUGAGCACUAGAGAGCCCACCGGCUGCUGGCGGCUGCAAGGCCUUCCGCAGUUGUUGCCCGGGACCUCAGAGGAGCCGCUGGGCUGGAGAGGGGUCUGCCCCGGGCCCUGUGGGCAGGAGGGCAGGGUGGGGUCUCCGCAGUGGGUGCCAGGUUUCCACCUGCUUGGCCCCGAGGCUCGGAGGCCUUGUGGCAGGAGCCCUCAGCUGCAGGGGCACAGCUCGGGGAGCCAGGCUCUUGUGCUGGGGGCUGUUCGUUAGGUGAUGAUAAAGUGCCGGGUGUCUGCCUUUUAAAUUGAGAGCAGAGAGCAAAAUUGUUUGGCACAUAGAACAAACAUAACAUGUUCACUUUGCCCUGCGGCAAGGAGCUGAGAGCAACCGGAGGAGGCUCUGCCCAGAGAGGAGGAGCUGAGCCAGGACAAGAGCCUCCUGCCUUCCUGGUUUUGCUGGACCAGCCCCUCGCAGGCGUCCUCCUCCACCUCAGACAUUCAGAGCCUUCUGGGUCCCUGUGCCUGCCUCCCCCGCUCCGCCCGACAGCACGGCCAGCAUCAGGUGCCUCCUGCCGCCUUGCGUCCGCGAUGCUGCCCCACGUGGGGAGGUCCCCAGUCCGGUGCCUGCUCUGCGCCCUGGCCUCCUGCCGCCGGGCUCCCUGGAGACCCCGAGGAAGCGGCGCCCUGCACACGGCCCCGGCAUUGCGCUCGGACGGGAGCGGCCCGGUCUUCACCCGCGCCCUGGCCUUCGGGGACCGGAUCGCCCUCGUGGACCAGCACGGCCGCCACACGUACGCGGACCUGUACUCCCGCAGCCUCCGCCUGUCCCGCGAGAUCUGCGCGCUGCGCGCCUGCGCCGACGGGGACCUCCGGGAGGAGCGGGUCUCCCUGCUGUGCGCCAACGACGCCUCCUACGUGGUGGCGCUGUGGGCCGCGUGGAUGAGCGGCGGCGUGGCCGUGCCCCUCUACCGGAAGCACCCCCCGGCCCAGCUGGAGUACUUCAUCCGGGACUCCCGCAGCUCCGUGGUCCUGGCCGGCCCGGAGCACGUGGGGGUGCUGGGCCCGGUGGUCGGGAAGCUGGGGGUCCCGCUCCUGCCUCUCUCGCCCGAGGUCUACCUGGGGGCGGCCGAGGCCCCCGGGGCGGGGCGGGUGCCGGAGCGGGACUGGAGAAAGCGAGCCGCCACCAUCAUCUACACCAGCGGGACCACGGGGAGGCCCAAGGGCGUUCUGAGCACCCAUCGCAACCUCGAGGCCGUGAAAACAUGUCUGCCUUCGACAGACGCGUACAGCAGGGGUGGUGACGUGAGAGGCCCAGAGCACAGAGGAAGCUCAGAGGCCAGUGGCACUGAGUCAGGCCGAUUCAGCCCGGGGUCCGUGGUGACGGGGCUGGUCCGCAAGUGGGCCUGGACUCAGGACGACGUGAUCCUCCACGUCCUCCCGCUGCACCACGUCCACGGCCUGGUCAACAAGCUGCUGUGUCCGCUCUGGGUCGGGGCCACCUGUGUGAUGCUGCCUGAGUUCAGCGCCCAGCAGGUUUGGGAAAAGUUCUUGAGUCCGGAAGCUCCCCGGGUCAACGUGUUCAUGGCCGUGCCCACCGUCUACAGCAAGCUGAUGGAUUACCACGACAGACACUUCACCCAGCCGCACGUCCGGGAUUUCGUGCGCGCCGUUUGCGAAGAGAAAAUCAGGCGGGCAGCACCAGGCAGUGUGCAUGAAGGACCCACGAGCACUGCCUCCUGUAGACGGCCACCUCCCACCUGCCCUUCCCCCGAGAGCCGGUGGCGUGUGAGGCAUAAGCCACCGCCUCUGCCGCAGCUCUUGCUCAGGGCUGUGUCUGGGGAGCAGGGCGAGUGGCUGGAGACACGCCGCCAAAGCCCGAGGUUGAUGGUCUCAGGCUCGGCCGCGCUGCCCCUGCCGGUGCUGGAGAAGUGGGAGGGCGUCACCGGGCACACGCUGCUGGAGCGCUAUGGCAUGACGGAGAUUGGCAUGGCCCUGUCCAACUCGCUGACCACGCGCCUGCCAGGCUCGGUGACCCGCACGCGUCUGGAUGGCCCUCGGCUCUUCCUGUCCGGUCUUCUCUAGCACAUUCCACAGGACGGAACUCACAGCCUGGGUCCCUGAUAGGGAGCCCUCAGGCAGAGCCCAAGGCCCGAGUCACGAACCUGGCCGUUUUCCUGGAUGGUAAGUUCCCUGCAGUUUGUCCAAGACACAACAGCUGUCUCAGAAUGGAACGUAAACGAACCCCGAACCUCUCCUCUGUCCGUCGCCCCACGUGUCUCACACACACAGCGAGGGUCACACUUGUCAUGCUCAGGUCUGAGUUUUCGGGAACACGCCGCCAGGCCGCCGUCACGGUGACGUCAGGAGGUUUAACCGCCUCCGGAGCCUCCCUUUUCGGGAGCAGCGCCUCCCAGGCCCCGCGAGCACGCACCUGCUUCCGCCCUUGGAGAGUCACACGGACCAAGGCUCCAGGACCUGCCUUCGGGUCUGGCUUUUAGCAGGAUGUGCCCAGUAGCACGUGUGGUGUGGACAAGCCGCCGUUUAACCUGUGUGCCACCUAAGGACACUGGGUCGUGUCCAGUCUUGGACGGUCACCAGUCAGGCUGCUGUGAACGUCCGGUGCAGGCCUCUGUGUACGCACGUCCCCGUGUGGUUGUGGGUCAGACGUGGCUGCAGGCUGCACAUAACAGCCCUGGCCCAGGGCUGACCUCCCGCCGCCAGACCAGACGCCCUCUGUGGAAGGCUGCAGCGCUCAGGCUUGGAGGAAGGAGCCCUGCGUCCCAGGGCUCUGGAGAUGCUGCUGAUCCUGCUCUGCCACAGUGGGAACUCGGGGCGGUACUUCUCCAGUCUUAGAUUCUGGCUGCAGCUCUUCUUCCAGCUCAGCGCGAGGCCUCUCCUGCUGGAACCAGACGCGAGGUCCAUUCUCCACGUCGGUCACUGCAGGGCCGGCUCUUUGAUUUGGAAAAGAUGAACCCAUUCGCCCUCACCCUGAAUCCCGGAGCGAGUCCCUGAGCACAGGCUCUGGAGGGAACAGGCCUUGGCCUCCGUGCCCGCGACCCCUGGGCCGGCUCCUCCAGCCAGAGGCUCCGUGGGCACCCCGCUGCCCGGCGUCGAGGUGCGGAUUGUCUCGGGAAACCUGCAGAAGGACGGCUGCCCCUGUAUCGUCCAUGCGGAAGGAAACGAGAGG
Molecule: RNA transcript, 3514 nt
Organism: Phacochoerus africanus (Common warthog)
Lineage: Eukaryota; Metazoa; Chordata; Mammalia; Artiodactyla; Suidae
Gene: ACSF3
Gene name: acyl-CoA synthetase family member 3
Exons: 9
Source: RefSeq, a predicted model, not a curated record